RNAcentral lists this long non-coding RNA (5000 nucleotides) under Musa acuminata (dwarf banana). Its description in RNAcentral is "long non-coding RNA (MACU_LNC008113)". Lineage: Eukaryota; Viridiplantae; Streptophyta; Magnoliopsida; Zingiberales; Musaceae. The record is from RNAcentral.
GUGCCGAGAUGAAGCAGUUAUCCUUUCGAAAGAUAAGAUAGGCCAAUAGUAGGGAUAUGAUAGGCCAAGCAAGCAACUCCGACGAAGGGGCAAGCGGACAUACCUGAGUGCAAUUCCAAAUUGAGUGAAUAGUUUGAGUAGCCAGCUGCAGGGCUUGUUUGAUUCUCCGUUAGUGCUGAGGAAGCUAGUCCUUCUUUUGGUGUUCGAGUUUGUGUAGUUCGGCUUGUCUGCUUUCCUGCUUGUCUGCUUGGCCGGUCGUUAUUCGUUGCUUGUUUAGUGGUGCCUCAAUUCGUUCUUCAGCCGUAAGCAAAGCAAUGUCAUCGUAUCCCCAGAAGCGUUGAUUAAGUGGAAAGUGAGCUAGCUCCACGAUAGAGUAUCAUUGUUUGCGAGUUGCCUUGCUUAUUCAUAGGAACGACAACUAAAGUCAUAGGACCGACAACUAAAGCACAGAACCUUACUCAGGAACUCACGUUAGCACUUCAGAAGAACAAAGAAGAGAAUUGAGGUGCGUAUAUAACUGUAAGCAAGUAAACUAACAGCUUUUCCUCCUUUCAAGACAAGACUCAGCUACGCUAAUGCACCAGCACCCUGGAAAGUAACAAAGACAUGUUUGCUCGAAGGGAAGAAUCACACUCACUAUAUCCGCGAACCGAGAAAAACUGGAACUAACAUAACUCCGUUAGCUAUAAGUCACUCGCGUUAGCGCAACUGCUUCCAGCUUUCAUGGUCCUCUCUUUAUGCCCUUGUUGACUUUCUUUUAUUCUUUGCCUGUUUCAAAUAAUCUACCUAGCAACUACAAUAUGGAUCUACCUAACAAAACGGAACUGCCAACUCUGCGGUAACCAAACGGAAACCAUAGUGAAUUGCUUCAAAUCAAACAAUCGUUAGCUUCAGUCUUAUAUGAUAUAGAUAAGUGUGGAAUCUCACUCCUGUGUGGAAUCCUAACUCCCGACUGCUUACUUAACUUAGCGGUAACCUCAGUCUAAACUAACUUAUUGCUUUGCUUCCUUUAGAACUAAGGCUUUCGAUCCACCCCCCCUUGCCUUGUUUGUUUGACUUGGUUAGAAACUAAGUUAGCACCCCGCUCGCUCCGUGGGUAAAUAAGCUAAUGCGCCUUGCUUGUUUCAUUUUGAUAUGAAUGCAAAGAUUCCUGACUAAUAUACUACGCCUCACUGCUUGUUGAAACCUAACUCCUUAAGCACGCACAACACUUUAAGCAAACUUGUUCCCUAGCUUGUUCAGCUAUCUACCUAUUGCUUGUUUAAUCAAAUAUGCACAUCCUAAUAUAGAAUCAAGUCACUUUACAGCCUAUUAGAUAAUGGACUCUCUGAAGAAUAAGGAAUUGGAUCUAGCUAUCCACAAUCAUAUGAUUUUAUGAAAGUGGAGAGUUUAGAGAAGAGAUAUGAGUAUAAUCAACAGACGCAUCAGAACGGAAAUGGAGAAAAUGUUAGUUAUGACUUGACUCAGGACGUAUAGGAAGCAAUAAUGGAUUAACAGAACCCCGUACUAUUCUCUUUCAAUGGCAAAGCCCGUUUUUUGCUAGGGGAUAGAAGCCAAGCUUGGUGGACGAAGCCCCCAUGUAGGGAUCGAUCAUUCUGGGCAAAUAUCUGAGGGAUCGAUCAUUCUGGGCUAAUAUAUUAUAAGAGAUAUUCGGCAUUCCAUACACAAUGUAUUAAUGCCCUAGUUGGAUUGAUUUCAUGAUUCAAAACCUGGGCUUCUUUCUUUUUCGUAUACCGAUAGUAAUCUUUUUCCGAAGCCCUAUAUUACCCCCUAGAUUAUUAAUGUCAAGCGAUUAUUAAUGUCAAGCGCGAAGAGGACAGGACCUACCUCAUUCUAAAGUUCACCAUUAUAAGAGGACAGGACCUACCUCAUUCUAAAGUUCACCAUUAUAUAUAUGUCAUUGAUCUUCUCUUUAGUUAAUCUGGAAGAAGGGCUCAUUCAUGUACAAUCCAGAGCGAGAAGGCAAGAAUAACAUCUCUUUUUUCACAUGGUAUUUCUAGGAAUAAGUAACUUCCACGAUCUUUGAGGAAAGGGUUGUAAUCUCUUCUUUAGAGUUGAAGCGAAUGAGUUUAAUGAUGAGGAAGAAUCUGUCUUCACGCAAAAAGCCUAUACUGUAGGUCGAGAGUGUUUUCCCUACCUCUCCCAUAGGUCGACUCCCGUUAGCACCCCAAGAAAUAAGCUCAAAGCGGUAGUGCGCCGAGCAAAGGCCAUUUUCAUAGUUCAUAUUUCUCCCUUUGGUUUUCCAAAGAGUCUUGCCUAAAGCAGGCCAUUCUCCUCGUUUCCGAGAGAUAGGAAGUACUAGCUUACAUGGACCCUCAAGUUCUCUUUCACUACUUUAGCUCAACAAUCGAAUAAGCACUAACGAGAACUCUAUAUGCUCAUACCAAGGCGCCGUGGUCUUUCUAAUGUCAAGAAUCAAUCAAAUCACAGAUCAUGAGAACUCUUUUUUCCACACAACGACUAAUCCUGAAAGACGACUCUUUCGUUUAAGGAGAAUUCCAAAAUACAGAAAUUGGAUUCGGAGAAAAUGAGGAUACCUGAAACACAAGGCCCGAUGGAAUUGAGCUUCUGCUGUCCCUACUAGUUCCGAUUGCUUUCUUGACUUCUGGAGAAGCAGCUCCUGUACUAAUCAAUUCUUCGGCGGUAAGGAAUAAAAUGCAAUAGAAUGCUUUUCUCAUAGAUAUUUGGACUCCUCUACUACUAUCAACCUUUCUUUCUCUAUAUACUUAUAGAUAGAUCUCUAUAUACUUAUAGAUAGACACAUGCAAUUAAGCUUAUAGAUAGACACAUGCAAUUAAGUUCUGCAAGAAUCAAGUCAUUGUGGAAUAAGACCAGUCUGAACUGUAUUUCUAUUUUGAUAUGAGAAAUUGUAUAGGUGAGUUGUACCUUUCGAAGCCCUAGGAGGUUCAUUGGAUCUAGUUUCCCGGUUUUCUUUGUUCUUCCUUUCUUUGUUUUGCAUGCGGCGUAGUUAAGGGUAGAAAAGAAAAGAUGUUGUUCAAGCAGGGUUCAGGAGAGAAUAACCAGUGAGAAAGUAAUCUACGAGAGGAGAGAGGUCAAUAGUGGAACAGAGCUUAAAGGACUUUCAAGCAAAAGUAGGUUCAAUAACAAUUGCUUAAAGUCAAUCUUUAGUGGGUUCAAUAACAAUUGCUUAAAGUCAAUCUUUCCCAGGGCGCGUAGCGUAGUAAGGCUUUAUUAAAGAUUUGCUUUUCGAUGGUUAUCCCCAUCCUCCCUAUCUUGUGCAGCUUAUCCAUUUCGGCUUUCAGAGUAUAAUAUUUGAUGUGUCAGGGCUAUAAUGGAGUUUCUAAUGGUCCCUAUUGCUAUUGGUAAAGGCUAGUAUCUAAUAAUGUGGAUAAGGGCUCAUUCAUGUAAAAUCCAUAGAUAGUGGGAAGGAAAGAAGAAGCUUGAUUACAAUCCAUAGCUGGAAGGAAAGAAUCCAGUGUUUUUUAGUCCCUAUUGCUAACAACGUAUAUCGGGAUCCCGGUGCCUAAAUGAUCUUCCUUAGAGUCCAAAGUCCGGUCCCUAUUGCUAACAACGUAUAUUGGUCUUUACUCUUCUUUCUAUUCAAAGAACUCAAUAAGAAUGUUAGUUUCUUCAGUUGUGCUAACGGAGCUCAUUAAGGCUUGCUUACCGGAGCUGCCAGAUACUCUACUUGUUGACUUUUUGCAGUUAAAGUGCAGAGGGAUUCUGGCCCUGUCCCUGUGCCUAGGUACGAUAGACUAAAAAGCAAUAGGCAACUUAUUUGAAUCAUAUGUAUUUCGCCCGACGCCGAUAUAUUCCAUUCAGAUAGUUUUUAGUGCUGUGUUUUUACGUUGUUUCUAUGAUAUAUGGGUAUAGCUCUCGUCCGGAUAGGCAAAUAUACGGGUAUAGCUCUGUUCCGGCUAAUAUAUGGGUAUAGCUCUGUUCUGGUCUUGACUCAAUCAUUUUCAUAGCACCUAUCUUGACUCAAUCAUUUUCAUAGCACCUAUGAGAUAAGAGAAGUCGGAUACUAACCUUAACACUGCUCGCAGAAGUGCACAUAAUAAAAUAAAUAGAAAUGCACCUAUAAGAGAAGUCGGAUACUAACCUAACACAGCUAUUAUAUUACUUAAGUAAGAGUGGAAUGGAAUUGAGCGACCACAUAGUCAGUAUAGAAUUUCUGAAAGACAAGAGCAUUGCUUCAAACCUAAUAGAGGAAUUAAUAUGGGCAUAGAACAAUAAAUAGAGGAGCGUAGCGACAUAGAACAAUAAAUAGAGGCGCGUAGCUAAAUAGAAAAUGAGUUGUUAUGUUAGGUUAGUGAGUGAUCGGUAUAGAAUGGAUUGGUAAUAUGACUAAGAUAUCUAUGCUCAUGUUGUUUGUUUCUUUUUGAUUGAGCUGUUCUGCUCCUAAAACUUAGUAAGAUUCUUUAUUCAAGCUCGUUAUUUCCUUUUCUCGAUCAUCAUCCCCUUCUAUAAAGGAAUAGGUCGAUAUUAGAAGCUAUAAUAACUCGGUCCAAUCUACUUAGUAGUCCUUCUAUUCCAGUGGCUCCUCUCCUCAAAGUGAAAUCUCUUUUUGCUUGCUUUUUCAUAGCUAUGUUUCGUACCUUUGUGAUUCUACUUUCCUUCUUCUGGAAAUGACGAAUGUAAGGAUGGCCUAUAUAUGGCUAGCAGCAAUUUCCCUACUUACUCAUCAAACCCGCCUAUCGGCUAAGCCGCCUUUCCCAACUCAAAUGGGUUCUGCCUUUCCCUACAAUCUCUUUUGUUGGCCUAUCCGCCGGCCGGAUGUUCGGACAGAUGAUAAAGAUUCCCUGCCUCCCACUUACGCAAUUGGUCUGUUUAGCAUUCCCUAUUCAUCUAGGUGACUUUUAGAAGUCCGUAAAGAGAUAAGUCUGUAAAGAAUCUAUGUUCAAGUGUUAUUACCGAGUGCAAGCAUCUUUCUGGGAAGGGUUCGCUUACGGGAAAUCUAGAAAAGGAGUGAGAGUUACCUUUCCAUUCACCUCACUUAACCGACCAUGUAAAGGCCCUUGAUAAGGCUUCUUUAACGU